RNAcentral lists this ribosomal RNA (572 nucleotides) under uncultured bacterium. Its description in RNAcentral is "bacterial SSU rRNA". It matches the Rfam family "Bacterial small subunit ribosomal RNA", at positions 30 to 577 of the family's 1533-position model. The record is from RNAcentral.
GGAACGCUGGCGGCGUGCUUACACAUGCAAGUCGUACGAGGGCCCAGAGCUUGCUCUGGAGACCCGAGUGGCGAACGGGUAGUAACACGUGACCAACCUGUCCUAGGGUGGGGGACAACCCGGGGAAACCUGGGCUAAUACCGCAUGAUGUCACUGAAUCGCAUGGUUCGGUGAUCAAAGAGGGCCUCUACUUGUAAGCUCUCGCCCAAGGAGGGGGUCGCGACGUAUCAGCCUGUUGGUGGGGUAACGGCCUACCAACGCUACGACGCGUAGCGGAUCUGAGAGGAUGAUCCGUCACAUUGGGACUGAGAUACGGCCCAGACUCCUACGGGAGGCAGCAGUAGGGAAUAUUGCGCAAUGGGCGAAAGCCUGACGCAGCGACGCCGCGUGUGGGAGGAAGCCUUUCGGGGUGUAAACCACUGUCAGAGGGGAAGAACGGCGCCGGUUCGAAUAGGUCCGGCGAUUGACGGUACCCUCAGAGGAAGCGCCGGCUAACUCCGUGCCAGCAGCCGCGGUAAGACGGAGGGCGCAAGCGUAGUUCGGAAUUACUGGGCGUAAAGGGCGGGCAGGUG